RNAcentral lists this ribosomal RNA (466 nucleotides) under uncultured bacterium. RNAcentral's name for it is "partial 16S ribosomal RNA". It matches the Rfam family "Bacterial small subunit ribosomal RNA", at positions 28 to 507 of the family's 1533-position model. The record is from RNAcentral.
GAUGAACGCUGGCGGCGUGCUUAACACAUGCAAGUCGAACGGAAAGGCUCCUGCUUGCAGGGGUACUCGAGUGGCGAACGGGUGAGUAACACGUGGGUGAUCUGCCCUGCACUUCGGGAUAAGCCUGGGAAACUGGGUCUAAUACCGGAUAGGACGAUGGCUUGGAUGCCAUUGUGGAAAGUUUUUUCGGUGUGGGAUGAGCUCGCGGCCUAUCAGCUUGUUGGUGGGGUAAUGGCCUACCAAGGCGUCGACGGGUAGCCGGCCUGAGAGGGUGUACGGCCACAUUGGGACUGAGAUACGGCCCAGACUCCUACGGGAGGCAGCAGUGGGGAAUAUUGCACAAUGGGCGCAAGCCUGAUGCAGCGACGCCGCGUGGGGGAUGACGGCCUUCGGGUUGUAAACUCCUUUCGCUAGGGACGAAGCGCAAGUGACGGUACCUGGAGAAGAAGCACCGGCUAACUACGUG